AUAUCCUGAACAGAAGGACCCUUUUGGGAGCCUCUCAGGAGGGGGACCUGGGCCAAGGGUCACCAGCCUUGUGCUGGCAACUCCAGGACCGUGGGUGGGCUUC
This 103-nucleotide long non-coding RNA is filed under the name Jaculus jaculus (lesser Egyptian jerboa). RNAcentral describes it as "Maternally expressed 3 conserved region 2 (ENSJJAG00000003500.1)". It matches the Rfam family "Maternally expressed 3 conserved region 2". Rfam says of the family: MEG3 (maternally expressed 3) is a maternally expressed, imprinted noncoding RNA gene. Lineage: Eukaryota; Metazoa; Chordata; Mammalia; Rodentia; Dipodidae. The record is from RNAcentral.